This 253-nucleotide ribosomal RNA is filed under the name uncultured bacterium. RNAcentral describes it as "partial 16S ribosomal RNA". It matches the Rfam family "Bacterial small subunit ribosomal RNA", at positions 524 to 776 of the family's 1533-position model. The record is from RNAcentral.
UACGUAGGGGGCAAGCGUUGUCCGGAUUUAUUGGGCGUAAAGAGCGUGUAGGCGGUCAGGUAGGUCCGUUAUGAAAACUCGAGGCUCAACCUCGAGACGCCGAUGGAAACCAUCUGACUAGAGUCCGGAAGAGGAGAGUGGAAUUCCUGGUGUAGCGGUGAAAUGCGCAGAUAUCAGGAAGAACACCCGUGGCCAAGGCGGCUCUCUAGUACGGUACUGACGCUGAGACGCGAAAGCGUGGGGAGCGAACAGG